UAGGGAAUCUUCCGCAAUGGACGCAAGUCUGACGGAGCAACGCCGCGUGAGUGAAGAAGGAUUUCGGUUCGUAAAACUCUGUUGUUAGAGAAGAACAGCGCAUAGAGUAACUGUUAUGCGUGUGACGGUAUCUAACCAGAAAGCCACGGCUAACUACGUGCCAGCAGCCGCGGUAAUACGUAGGUGGCAAGCGUUGUCCGGAUUUAUUGGGCGUAAAGCGAGCGCAGGCGGUCAAUUAAGUCUGAUGUGAAAGCCCCCGGCUCAACCGGGGAGGGUCAUUGGAAACUGGUUAACUUGAGUGCAGAAGAGGAGAGUGGAAUUCCAUGUGUAGCGGUGAAAUGCGUAGAUAUAUGGAGGAACACCGGUGGCGAAAGCGGCUCUCUGGUCUGUAACUGACGCUGAGGCUCGAAAGCGUGGGGAGCGAACAGG
RNAcentral lists this ribosomal RNA (429 nucleotides) under Bacteroidota bacterium. Its description in RNAcentral is "Bacteroidetes bacterium partial 16S ribosomal RNA". It matches the Rfam family "Bacterial small subunit ribosomal RNA", at positions 355 to 776 of the family's 1533-position model. Lineage: Bacteria; Pseudomonadati; Bacteroidota. The record is from RNAcentral.